Molecule: ribosomal RNA, 296 nt
Filed under: uncultured bacterium
Lineage: Bacteria
Description: partial 16S ribosomal RNA
Rfam family: Bacterial small subunit ribosomal RNA
Source: RNAcentral
GACGAACGCUGGCGGCGUGCUUAACACAUGCAAGUCGAGCGGUAAGGCCCUUUCGGGGUACGACGAGCGGCGAACGGGUAGAGUAACACGUGGGUGACCUCGCCCUCAGCUCUGGGAGUAAGCCUCGGGAAACCGGGUACUAAUAACUGGAUAUGACUCCAUGACGCAUGUUGUGGGGUGGAAAGCCUUGUGCGGCUGAGGAUGGGCCCGGCGGCCUAUCAGCUUGUUGGUGGGGUGAGGCCUACCAAGGCGACGACGGGUAGCCGGCCUGAGAGGGCGACCGGCCACACUGGGAC